GGACGGGUGGCCGAGUGGCUUAAGGCGCAUGAUUGGAAAUCAUGUGGGUUAACACCUUCGUGGGUUCGAAUCCCACCCCGUCCG
This 84-nucleotide transfer RNA is filed under the name Gemmatimonadota bacterium. RNAcentral's name for it is "Gemmatimonadetes bacterium tRNA-Ser". It matches the Rfam family "tRNA". Rfam says of the family: Transfer RNA (tRNA) molecules are approximately 80 nucleotides in length. Their secondary structure includes four short double-helical elements and three loops (D, anti-codon, and T loops). Further hydrogen bonds mediate the characteristic L-shaped molecular structure. tRNAs have two regions of fundamental functional importance: the anti-codon, which is responsible for specific mRNA codon recognition, and the 3' end, to which the tRNAs corresponding amino acid is attached (by aminoacyl-tRNA synthetases). tRNAs cope with the degeneracy of the genetic code in two manners: having more than one tRNA (with a specific anti-codon) for a particular amino acid; and 'wobble' base-pairing, i.e. permitting non-standard base-pairing at the 3rd anti-codon position. RNAcentral also lists the same sequence under 1 other name. The record is from RNAcentral. Lineage: Bacteria; Pseudomonadati; Gemmatimonadota.